UACAGAGGUCUCGAGCGUUAGGCGGAAUCACUGGGCUUAAAGCGUGUGUAGGCGGCUCGGUAAGUCCGCUCUGAAAGUCCAGGGCUCAACCCUGGGAUGCGGGUGGAUACUGCCGGGCUCGAGUCCGGAAGAGGCGAGUGGAAUUCCCGGUGUAGCGGUGAAAUGCGUAGAGAUCGGGCGGAACACCAGCGGCGAAGGCGGCAUCCUGGCCCUGACCUGACGCUGAGGCGCGAGAGCGUGGGGAGCAAACUGG
This 253-nucleotide ribosomal RNA is filed under the name uncultured bacterium. RNAcentral's name for it is "partial 16S ribosomal RNA". It matches the Rfam family "Bacterial small subunit ribosomal RNA", at positions 524 to 776 of the family's 1533-position model. The record is from RNAcentral.